GGGAGGAAGAAGGGAGGAGGAGCGGAGGGGCCCUUGUCUUCCCAGAGCCUCUCCCUUCCUCCCCUCCCCCUCCC
Molecule: microRNA precursor, 74 nt
Organism: Homo sapiens (human)
Lineage: Eukaryota; Metazoa; Chordata; Mammalia; Primates; Hominidae
Source: Ensembl